Papaver somniferum (opium poppy) is the source of this 128-nucleotide long non-coding RNA. RefSeq lists it as uncharacterized. The record is from RefSeq and is a predicted model, not a curated record. Lineage: Eukaryota; Viridiplantae; Streptophyta; Magnoliopsida; Ranunculales; Papaveraceae. The transcript is spliced from 3 exons.
UUUCAGUGUGAUCUCUCAGUUAGGGUUUGAGUUUGUUCAUCAGGUACAGUCCGAUCUCUCAGUUAGGGUUUGAGUUAGUUCAUCAGUUUGAUCUUCAACAGCUUAAGUUGCAGGAAGAUCUUCACAGG